This 20-nucleotide transfer RNA is filed under the name Telopathes magnus. RNAcentral describes it as "partial tRNA-Trp". Lineage: Eukaryota; Metazoa; Cnidaria; Anthozoa; Antipatharia; Schizopathidae. The record is from RNAcentral.
UUCAAGUCCUGCCCCUCCUG